AGCAGCCGCGGUAAUUCCAGCUCCAAUAGCGUAUAUUAAAGUUGUUGCAGUUAAAAAGCUCGUAGUUGAAUUUCGGGAUUAAUAUGUUGGUCGUGCCUUGGUACGUACUGGCAUUAUUGAUUCCUACCUUCUGAAGAACCUCGAUGUCAUUAAUUUGGUGUCUUGGGGAAUCAGGACCGUUACUUUGAAAAAAUUAGAGUGUUUAAAGCAGGCUCGCGCUUGAAUACAUUAGCAUGGAAUAAUGAAAUAGGACGUUUGAUUCUAUUUUGUUGGUUUCUAGGAUCGACGUAAUGAUUAAUAGGGAUAGUUGGGGGCAUUAGUAUUCAAUUGUCAGAGGUGAAAUUCUUGGAUUUAUUGAAGACUGACUACUGCGAAAGCAUUUGCCAAGGAUGUUUUCAUUAAUCAAGAACGAAAGUUAGGGGAUCGAAGACGAUCAGAUACCGUCGUAGUCUUAACCAUAAACUAUGCCGACUAGGGAUCGGAUGAUGUUAAUUUUUUAAUGACUCAUUCGGCGCCUUACG
This 521-nucleotide ribosomal RNA is filed under the name uncultured Glomus. Its description in RNAcentral is "SSU rRNA". It matches the Rfam family "Eukaryotic small subunit ribosomal RNA", at positions 569 to 1092 of the family's 1831-position model. The record is from RNAcentral. Lineage: Eukaryota; Fungi; Glomeromycota; Glomeromycetes; Glomerales; Glomeraceae. RNAcentral also lists the same sequence under 1 other name.